GGGUUGUGAGGUUAAGCGACUAAGCGUACACGGUGGAUGCCCUGGCAGUCAGAGGCGAUGAAGGACGUGCUAAUCUGCGAUAAGCGUCGGUGAGGUGAUAUGAACCGUUAUAACCGGCGAUUUCCGAAUGGGGAAACCCAGUGUGUUUCGACACACUAUCAUUAACUGAAUCCAUAGGUUAAUGAGGCGAACCGGGGGAACUGAAACAUCUAAGUACCCCGAGGAAAAGAAAUCAACCGAGAUUCCCCCAGUAGCGGCGAGCGAACGGGGAGGAGCCCAGAGCCUGAAUCAGUGUGUGUGUUAGUGGAAGCGUCUGGAAAGGCGUGCGAUACAGGGUGACAGCCCCGUACACAAAAAUGCACAUAUUGUGAGCUCGAUGAGUAGGGCGGGACACGUGGUAUCCUGUCUGAAUAUGGGGGGACCAUCCUCCAAGGCUAAAUACUCCUGACUGACCGAUAGUGAACCAGUACCGUGAGGGAAAGGCGAAAAGAACCCCGGCGAGGGGAGUGAAAAAGAACCUGAAACCGUGUACGUACAAGCAGUGGGAGCCUCUUAAUGGGGUGACUGCGUACCUUUUGUAUAAUGGGUCAGCGACUUAUAUUCUGUAGCAAGGUUAACCGAAUAGGGGAGCCGAAGGGAAACCGAGUCUUAACUGGGCGUUAAGUUGCAGGGUAUAGACCCGAAACCCGGUGAUCUAGCCAUGGGCAGGUUGAAGGUUGGGUAACACUAACUGGAGGACCGAACCGACUAAUGUUGAAAAAUUAGCGGAUGACUUGUGGCUGGGGGUGAAAGGCCAAUCAAACCGGGAGAUAGCUGGUUCUCCCCGAAAGCUAUUUAGGUAGCGCCUCGUGAAUUCAUCUCCGGGGGUAGAGCACUGUUUCGGCAAGGGGGUCAUCCCGACUUACCAACCCGAUGCAAACUGCGAAUACCGGAGAAUGUUAUCACGGGAGACACACGGCGGGUGCUAACGUCCGUCGUGAAGAGGGAAACAACCCAGACCGCCAGCUAAGGUCCCAAAGUCAUGGUUAAGUGGGAAACGAUGUGGGAAGGCCCAGACAGCCAGGAUGUUGGCUUAGAAGCAGCCAUCAUUUAAAGAAAGCGUAAUAGCUCACUGGUCGAGUCGGCCUGCGCGGAAGAUGUAACGGGGCUAAACCAUGCACCGAAGCUGCGGCAGCGACACUAUGUGUUGUUGGGUAGGGGAGCGUUCUGUAAGCCUGUGAAGGUGGCCUGUGAGGGUUGCUGGAGGUAUCAGAAGUGCGAAUGCUGACAUAAGUAACGAUAAAGCGGGUGAAAAGCCCGCUCGCCGGAAGACCAAGGGUUCCUGUCCAACGUUAAUCGGGGCAGGGUGAGUCGACCCCUAAGGCGAGGCCGAAAGGCGUAGUCGAUGGGAAACAGGUUAAUAUUCCUGUACUUGGUGUUACUGCGAAGGGGGGACGGAGAAGGCUAUGUUGGCCGGGCGACGGUUGUCCCGGUUUAAGCGUGUAGGCUGGUUUUCCAGGCAAAUCCGGAAAACC
Molecule: ribosomal RNA, 1514 nt
Filed under: Escherichia coli
Lineage: Bacteria; Pseudomonadati; Pseudomonadota; Gammaproteobacteria; Enterobacterales; Enterobacteriaceae
Description: partial 23S ribosomal RNA
Rfam family: Bacterial large subunit ribosomal RNA
Source: RNAcentral